UACGUAGGGUGCAAGCGUUGUCCGGAAUUAUUGGGCGUAAAGAGCUCGUAGGCGGUUCGUCGCGUCUGCUGUGAAAUCUUAGGGCUUAACCCUGAGCUUGCAGUGGGUACGGGCAGACUAGAGUGCGGUAGGGGAGACUGGAAUUCCUGGUGUAGCGGUGAAAUGCGCAGAUAUCAGGAGGAACACCGGUGGCGAAGGCGGGUCUCUGGGCCGGUACUGACGCUGAGACGCGAAAGCGUGGGGAGCGAACAGG
This 253-nucleotide ribosomal RNA is filed under the name uncultured bacterium. RNAcentral's name for it is "partial 16S ribosomal RNA". It matches the Rfam family "Bacterial small subunit ribosomal RNA", at positions 524 to 776 of the family's 1533-position model. The record is from RNAcentral.